UGGGGAAUAUUGCACAAUGGAGGGAACUCUGAUGCAGCAACGCCGCGUGCGGGAUGACGGCCUUCGGGUUGUAAACCGCUUUCAGCCAUGACGAAGCUUUUGUGACGGUAGUGGUAGAAGAAGCAUCGGCUAACUACGUGCCAGCAGCCGCGGUGAUACGUAGGGUGCGAGCGUUGUCCGGAAUUAUUGGGCGUAAAGAGCUUGUAGGCGGUUUGUCGCGUCGAUAGUGUAAACACGCAGCUUAACUGUGUGCCUGCUGUCGAUACGGGCUGACUAGAGGAGGGUAGGGGGGAAUGGAAUUCCCGGUGGAGCGGUGGAAUGCGCAGAUAUCGGGAGGAACACCAGUGGCGAAGGCGGUUCUCUGGACCUUUCCUGACGCUGAGAAGCGAAAGCGUGGGUAGCAAACAG
Molecule: ribosomal RNA, 408 nt
Filed under: Fusobacteriota bacterium
Lineage: Bacteria; Fusobacteriati; Fusobacteriota
Description: Fusobacteria bacterium partial 16S ribosomal RNA
Rfam family: Bacterial small subunit ribosomal RNA
Source: RNAcentral